UUUUCUCUCCCCUGUCCAGUUGAGGAGGGGAGUAAAAGAGGGGCUUUGGUGGAUGCUUGGCAUCUAGCCAGGGUCAACUCAACACAAGAGGAAAUUUCUCAGAAAUCUUUCUAUAAAAGCAACUACUUUUACAUGUGAGAUGCAAAUAGCAGUGAAAGAAAGAGCUCCACACUGGACAAAAAGAGAGACUUUCUGUUGUGCCAUGAACCAAAUAGCAGAAGGAAAUAUGUGAAGAAUGAAGAAAAGAAAGUCAAGAAGAGAGAGAGAAUAAUUCAAGGAUAGCAAAAUUCUGUAUUAUAUUACAUUACACUGGAAUAGGCUUCCUAGCGAGGUGGAUGUCCCAAGCCCAUCAAUAUUUAAGAGGCAUUUGGACAAUGAACUUGUGCAGAAUAAGGAAAAAAAAAUUAUUUGGAGUACUAAGCACUGAAAUUGCAAUCCACAUCUCAUUCAGAGAUACAGAUCAGUUUGAUAUAGUUUUCAGGACUGCAGAAAGAUAAGUAUUGUAGCAAAUAUUUUAGGAACUUUGUGGAUUAAUAGAAUUUUUAUUGCUUGGUGUCUUUUUUUAACAGUAAUCUCACUGGAUCAAUGUUUGAAAAGUAAUUUUUCAGCCUUUAAUAAUCUUAAAAACAAAAGAUAAUAUAUGUCCAAUUAUGCUCUGGGGUUUAACAAGUAUUACAGUUUUGGUUUUUAUCUUAAUAGGAAAAAAUAUCUACUUACAUUUUAUGAACUGAAAAUAUAGCAUGAAUUGUUAUCAAUGCAGCUUUUGAAUUCUUAUUUUCCCAGAAAAAAAGUAAUUUUUGGAAAACUUCGUUUGAGAUUCUUUAGUCCAUUUGUCAUGGUGGGAUAUUUGGUGUCUCAAACUUUCCAAUUCAGACAGGGAAAUCUUAAUUGGAAGGGCUGAAUGAUUAAUGAAUUGCAACAAAAAGAGACCAGGGAUUAGCCUGCCUUCUGGCCAAAAACUGUUGUUUAAUUCUAGGCGUAUUGAUUAGCUGUAUAGUUAUUGACAAAAGAAUUAAUUUAAGUACUUUAAGUCAAUGUUUCUUUAGUUGAAAACUUUACCUUUAGACACAAGGAAAUGCCAGUACAAAACUAGUCAAUUAAUAUACUAUCAAAGUAAAGUCAGAGGAGAAAAGGCUCUAUGUCUUCACAUGUUAAAUUUUAGGUAUGACUUUUUUGUGUCAUGUUAAUUUUCUAAGAGUCAUCAAGGAACAAUAUUUAAAAUUCAUAAUUGUGGGUUUAGUGAUGUUUGCUAAUUAUUUCAUGUUUCCUCUGAACUUUAAAGAUUCUUCUAAAACAUACUUUGUUUUCUUCAGUUUGAAUUUCAGCACCUGACAUUAUUUUAAAUUAUAUGCCUUGCUGAUUCUGAAACACAUUUUUAAUCAUUAUUUUUUUAUGUUUCAGAAUUCUGUAGGCCAUUCAAUUUCCCCUAUUGUUGAAAGCUGUUUAAUUCACAAUGCCUUGAGUACAGGCCCGUCAUCUAUUCUAUAGUGACUAUACCACUUAAUAAUGGAAUAGUGCAUCAAAGUGCCACUUAGGUCUCAAAUUGUUAUGUAUGACUGUCAAAGCGGUGAAAAAAGCAAAAAGAGAAAAAAAAAAGGAAAAAAAAAA
Molecule: long non-coding RNA, 1608 nt
Organism: Taeniopygia guttata (zebra finch)
Lineage: Eukaryota; Metazoa; Chordata; Aves; Passeriformes; Estrildidae
Source: Ensembl